AAUGGGUAAAGUCGUUAGCGAGUUACCCUGUGAACCCGGGCUUUUGUAGACCUCUUCAGAGUCAGAAGCUCGUUUUUACAGGUUUUCUUGAAAAUGAUCAUUUCUCGU
Molecule: microRNA precursor, 108 nt
Filed under: Tetranychus urticae (two-spotted spider mite)
Lineage: Eukaryota; Metazoa; Arthropoda; Arachnida; Trombidiformes; Tetranychidae
Description: microRNA tur-mir-993b precursor
Gene: tur-mir-993b
Source: miRBase by way of RNAcentral